This 300-nucleotide long non-coding RNA is filed under the name Gallus gallus (chicken). Lineage: Eukaryota; Metazoa; Chordata; Aves; Galliformes; Phasianidae. The record is from RNAcentral.
CAGAAGCGCUGCAACUGUAGUCUGAAGUGUGUGGGUGGGCUCGUGUGUCCAUGAUGUAUACCUGUGAUAAAAGAGAACCUGUACCAGGCUCAAGAUAUCCUGAAGUCUAACUGCACUCUACAGCCUUCAGUUUUACAGGCAAAAGAAAAGAGCAAUUGAAACUGCUUCCCUGUGUAGAAUUCCUGUAAAGUCUGGGAAUUUGAUGCUGGAUGGAUUGUGGGGGACUUUAUAAAACUAGCUGUGAUGUGUGGGUUAAAAAUUCCCAGAAUUAUUUGGUUGAAGAUUGAUUGUAAACCGUAG